This 886-nucleotide long non-coding RNA is filed under the name Homo sapiens (human). RNAcentral's name for it is "HSALNT0123259". Lineage: Eukaryota; Metazoa; Chordata; Mammalia; Primates; Hominidae. The record is from RNAcentral.
CAUCCUCACUUUAGCAUCUGGUGCUUCUGCUGGAGCAAUGUUAAUUGAAGCUCCGGCAAAGCGAGAAAGCUGCUUGAUGUGCUUGGCCCUGCUUGCCGAUGAUGACACCGACUGAUAGAGCCUGGAUAAACAGAUGAACAGUCUCCGUUUCUGAUUGCUCAAACUGCGGCUUUGGCACAUGCCUCAACAUUGCCUUUAACUGUAAUGGUGCGUUCUGGAUUAUACAGCGUCAAUUCCUGAAAGCACCUUGAUGGCCUUGAGGGCCCAGCUCUCCUCUGGGCAGUCCAUGAACGCAUAGCCAGUCUUCACCAGGAAGGAUCCCAACACUGGGAUCUUGGCGUCCUUGAAGAUACUUUCUAGGUCCAAGGGGACGGCGUUCUCGUGGAGGUUUCCGAUAUACAGUUUGUUCAUUGUGAAGAAUGGUUGUUUAAAAAAAUUAACGAGAAGAACGAGAAAUUAAAACCACCCAUGGUGAUGGAUGGAUCCAGCUGGUUUUGUUGCUCUCAUCUUCUCACCUUUAAAAUACACAAACACAGAAAGAACCAAGCACAAGAACAAGGAGUGAAAAAUCAGAUCCGAGGCUUGUUUUUCCUUGUCCUAGAUAUGUUUUAAAAGAGAAAGAAAAGAAAAAGCCUAGCUACAACCCAAAUGCAUCAACCAGUCUUCCUAAGUCUCGCUUUUGAAUAAUUUUCAAAUGAGAUGUACACCUAAAUUUUAAGAGUGUUUGAGUUUGUGUUUGCUUUAGUGGUGCUUUAUAUCUGUCUGAUUGUAAGCAUAAUGUUCAUGGAAAGAGACUUUUGGUAGGAAUCAAACUGGGACUCUUACAAUGGCUUAAGUCCAUCAGAAUAGUUCUGAUGCUACUUAGGAGCAUCAGAACUCCUUUCUU